RNAcentral lists this ribosomal RNA (200 nucleotides) under uncultured bacterium. RNAcentral's name for it is "partial 16S ribosomal RNA". It matches the Rfam family "Bacterial small subunit ribosomal RNA", at positions 29 to 258 of the family's 1533-position model. The record is from RNAcentral.
AACGAACGCUGGCGGCAGGCUUAACACAUGCAAGUCGAACGCCCCGCAAGGGGAGUGGCAGACGGGUGAGUAACGCGUGGGAAUCUACCGUGCCCUGCGGAAUAGCUCUGGGAAACUGGAAUUAAUACCGCAUACGCCCUACGGGGGAAAGAUUUAUCGGGGUAUGAUGAGCCCGCGUUGGAUUAGCUAGUUGGUGGGGU